Long non-coding RNA from Oreochromis aureus, 342 nucleotides. NCBI's taxonomy places the organism in Eukaryota, Metazoa, Chordata, Actinopteri, Cichliformes, Cichlidae. The record is from Ensembl.
UGGAAGCCGGAGACGAUGAGGCCGCAGGUGACGGCGUGGAAGCCGGAGACGAUGAGGCCGCAGGUGACGGCGUGGAAGCCGGAGACGAAGAGGCCGCAGGCGGCGGCGUGGAAGCCGGAGGCGGCGGCGCUGCAGGCGGCGGCGUGGAAGCCGGAGGCGGCGGCGCUGCAGCUGGCGGCGUAGAUGGUGAGGCUGCCGCUGGCGUGGAUGGUGAAGCUGCAGCUGGCGGCGGCGUGGAAGCCGGAGACGGAGGCGCUGCAGCUGGCGUGAAUGAAGAGGCGGCAGCUGGUGUGGAAGCUAGAGACGGAAGCGCUGCAGGCGGCGGCGUGGAAGCCGGAGACG